Molecule: ribosomal RNA, 763 nt
Filed under: uncultured Streptococcus sp.
Lineage: Bacteria; Bacillati; Bacillota; Bacilli; Lactobacillales; Streptococcaceae
Description: bacterial SSU rRNA
Rfam family: Bacterial small subunit ribosomal RNA
Source: RNAcentral
GACGAACGCUGGCGGCGUGCCUCAUACAUGCAAGUAGAACGCUGAAGGAGGAGCUUGCUUCUCCGGAUGAGUUGCGAACGGGUGAGUAACGCGUAGGUAACCUGCCUGGUAGCGGGGGAUAACUAUUGGAAACGAUAGCUAAUACCGCAUAAGAGUAGAUGUUGCAUGACAUUUGCUUAAAAGGUGCAAUUGCAUCACUACCAGAUGGACCUGCGUUGUAUUAGCUAGUUGGUGGGGUAACGGCUCACCAAGGCGACGAUACAUAGCCGACCUGAGAGGGUGAUCGGCCACACUGGGACUGAGACACGGCCCAGACUCCUACGGGAGGCAGCAGUAGGGAAUCUUCGGCAAUGGACGGAAGUCUGACCGAGCAACGCCGCGUGAGUGAAGAAGGUUUUCGGAUCGUAAAGCUCUGUUGUAAGAGAAGAACGAGUGUGAGAGUGGAAAGUUCACACUGUGACGGUAUCUUACCAGAAAGGGACGGCUAACUACGUGCCAGCAGCCGCGGUAAUACGUAGGUCCCGAGCGUUGUCCGGAUUUAUUGGGCGUAAAGCGAGCGCAGGCGGUUAGAUAAGUCUGAAGUUAAAGGCUGUGGCUUAACCAUAGUACCCUUUGGAAACUGUUUAACUUGAGUGCAAGAGGGGAGAGUGGAAUUCCAUGUGUAGCGGUGAAAUGCGUAGAUAUAUGGAGGAACACCGGUGGCGAAAGCGGCUCUCUGGCUUGUAACUGACGCUGAGGCUCGAAAGCGUGGGGAGCAAACAGG